GAUGAACGCUGGCGGCGUGCCUAAUACAUGCAAGUCGAGCGAACGGACGAGAAGCUGUCUUUUCUGAGGUUGGCGACGGACGGGGGAGUAACACGUGGAUAAGCUACCUAUAAUACUGUGACAACAUCGGAAAACCGGAACUAACGGCGGGGAAUACUUUCUACCUGAUGGUUCAUGAGUGGAAGAGGGUCUUGCUGUCACAUAUAGGUCGAUCCGCGCUGCAUUAGCUAGUUGGUAAGGUAACGGCUUAGCAGGGCAACGAUGCAUAGCCGACCUGAGAGGCUGAUCGGCCACACUGGAACUGAGACGCGGUCCAGGCGACUACGGGAGGCAGCAGUAGGCAAUCUGCCGCAACGGGCGAGAACAUGACGGAGCAACACCGCGUGAGUGAUGACGGUCUUCGGAUCGUAAAACUCUGUUAUUAGGGAAAAACCUAUGUGUACGUAACUGUGCACAUCUUGACGGUACCUAAUCAGAAAGCCCCGGCUAACUACGUG
This 497-nucleotide ribosomal RNA is filed under the name uncultured bacterium. RNAcentral describes it as "partial 16S ribosomal RNA". It matches the Rfam family "Bacterial small subunit ribosomal RNA", at positions 28 to 507 of the family's 1533-position model. The record is from RNAcentral.